RNAcentral lists this ribosomal RNA (446 nucleotides) under uncultured bacterium. RNAcentral describes it as "partial 16S ribosomal RNA". It matches the Rfam family "Bacterial small subunit ribosomal RNA", at positions 338 to 795 of the family's 1533-position model. The record is from RNAcentral.
CCUACGGGUGGCAGCAGUCGAGAAUCAUUCACAAUGGGGGAAACCCUGAUGGUGCGACGCCGCGUGGGGGAAUGAAGGUCUUCGGAUUGUAAACCCCUGUCAUGUGGGAGCAAAUUAAAAAGAUAGUACCACAAGAGGAAGAGACGGCUAACUCUGUGCCAGCAGCCGCGGUAAUACAGAGGUCUCAAGCGUUGUUCGGAAUCACUGGGCGUAAAGCGUGCGUAGGCUGUUUCGUAAGUCGUGUGUGAAAGGCGCGGGCUCAACCCGCGGACGGCACCGGAUACUGCGAGACUAGAGUGAUGGAGGGGGAACCGGAAUUCUCGGUGUAGCAGUGAAAUGCGUAGAUAUCGAGAGGAACACUCGUGGCGAAGGCGGGUUCCUGGACAUUAACUGACGCUGAGGCACGAAGGCCAGGGGAGCGAAAGGGAUUAGAUACCCCAGUAGUC